This 77-nucleotide transfer RNA is filed under the name Planctomycetota bacterium. RNAcentral describes it as "Planctomycetes bacterium (activated sludge metagenome) tRNA-Arg". It matches the Rfam family "tRNA". From Rfam's summary of the family: Transfer RNA (tRNA) molecules are approximately 80 nucleotides in length. Their secondary structure includes four short double-helical elements and three loops (D, anti-codon, and T loops). Further hydrogen bonds mediate the characteristic L-shaped molecular structure. tRNAs have two regions of fundamental functional importance: the anti-codon, which is responsible for specific mRNA codon recognition, and the 3' end, to which the tRNAs corresponding amino acid is attached (by aminoacyl-tRNA synthetases). tRNAs cope with the degeneracy of the genetic code in two manners: having more than one tRNA (with a specific anti-codon) for a particular amino acid; and 'wobble' base-pairing, i.e. permitting non-standard base-pairing at the 3rd anti-codon position. Lineage: Bacteria; Pseudomonadati; Planctomycetota. The record is from RNAcentral.
GCCCCGGUAGCUCAACCGGAUAGAGCAGCGGAUUUCUAAUCCGCAGGUUGCAGGUUCAAGUCCUGCCCGGGGUGCCA